This 492-nucleotide ribosomal RNA is filed under the name Triticum aestivum (bread wheat). RNAcentral describes it as "partial small subunit ribosomal RNA". Lineage: Eukaryota; Viridiplantae; Streptophyta; Magnoliopsida; Poales; Poaceae. The record is from RNAcentral.
AUGGCCGAGGCCGCCUUUCAUCAUUUCUCUUCGCUCUUCGGUUCCUCCUCGCCACGCGAAUUCUCCCUUGAUCUUGAUCAGAUCGACGACCGUUCGUUCGACCUCACUGAUCUCAAGCUUCCUUUCUCUGAGGAAGAGAUCCUUCGAGCUGCUCGCGCGCUUCCCCGCGGCAAGGCCCCAGGCCCUGACGGCUUCACCUCUGAAUUUCUCGUGGCUUGCUGGGACAUCGUCAAGGCCGUCAUCUGCGCUGUCUUUGACAAGUUCUAUUCCAUGAACGGGCAUAGCUUGCAGCGCCUCAACGAAGCCCUAAUCACCCUCUUGCCCAAGAAGCAAGACGCCACCGCCCUCUCCGAGUACCGCCCCAUCAGUCUGCUCCACCUUGUGGCCAAGGUCCUCUCCCUCCGGCUCGCCCCUCGGCUGGGACAGCUCGUGGCCACGAACCAAAGCGCUUUCAUCGCUGGGCGCUGCGUGCACGGCAACUUCAUGUUGGUC